Molecule: long non-coding RNA, 2649 nt
Organism: Daktulosphaira vitifoliae (grape phylloxera)
Lineage: Eukaryota; Metazoa; Arthropoda; Insecta; Hemiptera; Phylloxeridae
Exons: 4
Source: RefSeq, a predicted model, not a curated record
CUUUAAUGAAUGGUGAAUGUAAAUGCAUUCAAUUUUUGAUAUAAUGUAAACUCAUAAUUUUAAAUUAAGUUAUCAAAAAAAAAAAAUCAUAAAAUUGGCAAUCUUAUAACAAAACAAGUUAUCAAACUUGGUGAUAAUUAGUCUGCGACUAUAGAUAAGUCAAUAGUCAAUAAUUGUAAACACAUAAAUAGAUAUGGUGUUUAUCCCUUACUACUUACUUUAAAAACUAAUACAGCUACAGAGUUAUGUGUGUAUAUUUACUAUUAAAAACAACUCUUGGUAUCUACAUAUUUUUUUUAAUUUGAUAAUUUAAUAAUAAAAUAUUUAUUAAUAGCUUAUAAAUUUAUAAAACCAAGCAAGAUAAAAGACAAGUCAAUAUAUUAAAGCACAAUAAUUUUGAUUUGUUAAUUAAAAACAAGUUAAGUGAUGAAUUUAAUAUUUAUCAGUGAAAAAUGUUAAAUAUAAAUUACAAAUAAAUACAUAUAAGUGAAAUUUUUUUUUUAUAAGAAAAUCACAAUCUGUGAUACAAUAAGCAAAUAUUAUAAUAAUUUUAUUGUUCAUUAUAUGAAGAACUAUAUUGUUGAAAAUACUCAGUGGUGCUACCCGUUAGCUUAAGCGAUAUCUUUUCUGUAGUAUUAACAUGAAAUUGACAAAUAUAAUAAGUAUAACAGAUUUGUUUGAAUGCGUUUUGUUUUUUAACUCCGAAAUGGAAAUCGGAAUAGGAUUUUUCAAUAGGAAUUUUCCAAAUACUGAAAUUUAGACAAAUUCGAUGUUUUAAUGGUACAUUUCUCAAAAAGAAACAUUUUUUCUGAGAAAGCAAGUAUUUUGACCAAUUAAGAUUUGUAGAGCCUGUUGUAGUACAAGAAAAAUUAUUUUUACAGAUAUUAUGGUUUCUGAAAAUAGUGUGGAAUGAUCUAAUGACAUUAAAAACAAAUGAUUAGAAUACUGAACUAGAUUACAAAAAUUAAGUACGUUAAAUAAUUCGUCAAAAUAAAACUAAUAUUAUAGAAAUUCACAUAUGAGAUGCACCAAGAAAUGCGGACAGCGCACAUCAAAGUUAAUUUGCGCGAAAUCCAAAGUGGUGCCAUUAAAGUCAAUUAAUUUAUACCUCGCCUUGAAUUAUUACUCAAAUAUUAUUAUUUUCCCACCUAUCGCAUAGAAUUGUAAUGAAUGGAUAACCACACUAACUAUCAAAUAGAAAAUACUCGUGUCCCAUAGAGCAGGAGAAAUUUAACAGCUCACUUAUCAACUAGGUUGGUUUCAUAUAUAGACGCUUGAAAACCCAAAGAAUUUAGUAUCAUGUGGUUGUAGUGCUGAACUAAUAGGUUACAUGGAGAAGUGGUGAGAUGGUCUUAGUUAGUUAGGUAUAACUAUUGACAAACUAGUUUUCAUCAUCGAAUAAAAUGGUACGGAUAAUAGUCUAUUGCAUUCGAUUUAUAGAUACAAAAGUAAAAAAUUAGUAGAAAAGAUAGGAAUAUUAAAAAACACCGAUAAUGUAAACGGUUAAAAUACAGAAAUGGAUUACAAAAGUACAUCAAAGUACACCGAAAAAUAAUUUGACAAAAUAAAACUAUUAUUAAAGAAGUUCAAAAAUUGUGCAAACUAUCAUUUUUAUAACUAUUAUUUUUUCUAUUGACAAAAAAUUUAAUGAAGCAUGCUUUAGAAAACAUUUAUGUCAACAUAUACAAUUCAGACGAUGCAUUUAAGUUAACAUUAUAUUUUUAAUAAAAAGCUAAAAUGAUAAUUUAUAAUUUUUUUUAAAUUUUAAACAAAUUGGAAAAAAAAUGGAAAUAUUAAAAUUUUGUACCGGAUUAUAUAAAAUAUGAUUAUUAAAAUUAUGAACUAAAUUUAAUUAAAAAAGCCUAAAAAGUACUCAAUGGUCGGCAAUAAUUUGUUGAAAUGAAGUAAAAUAAAUUGCUUUAACUUAAUAUAAACGAAUUAUUGUGGAAAUAACGAAAAAUAUUAGGGCUUAUUUUUACAAUAACAAAGGGUAAUGUAAUAUAUGUUAUAAUUAUGUAGUUUAUUUAUUAUGUUUAUGAUUUUUAAACACUUACUUGCUUAUGAUUAGUUAAGUAGAACAUAAAUAUUUUAGUAUGAGUAAUCUGAAUUGUCGGGUUGUCAAUCGGCACGAUGUUUGCAAUGAUUUUAUUUUUGAAAUUUGCAUUAUAGAAUAUUAAAAUAUUACAUUGUGUCUUUUUUUAACUUAACCUUGUAUGUAUGUCCAUCUGUUAUCCUUGCCGUAUAGAAUAUCACUAAUUAGUGCAUAGUACAUUUUUAUAGCUAAUUUACCUGUCAUAUCUUAAUCAAUAAAAUUUGGUUUAUGCAAGAACAAAUAAAAAUAAUGGCUUCUGUAUUUAAUACAGUAAAAUGACAAUAGAAAUUUGGCCUAAAAUCACUGAACCUUAACAAGCUGUAACGGACGAACGGUUAAUCGGAUAAAAAAAAUUAUAAGAACAAAAUUGUAUGAAAUUAAUUUUUCUAUCACAUUAUAAAGUUAAAAAUAAGUGUUCCCAUUUAAGAAAAUUAUAAAUAAGGGUUUUAUCCUUGAAGGGACGAAAAAAUAAUGGCUUGACUACAUAUUAUUGUAGAGUUUUUUGAACUUGAUAUUUUUUUUCUAUAAUAAAAUUUAAAAUUCUCAAUAUUUUCUGA